UACGUAGGUGGCAAGCGUUGUUCGGAUUUACUGGGCGUAAAGGGCGCGUAGGCGGCCACCGCAAGUCGACUGUGAAAUCUCCGGGCUUAACCCGGAAAGGUCAGCCGAUACUGCGGGGCUAGAGUGCAGAAGGGGCAACUGGAAUUCUCGGUGUAGCGGUGAAAUGCGUAGAUAUCGAGAGGAACACCUGCGGCGAAGGCGGGUUGCUGGGCCGACACUGACGCUGAUGCGCGAAAGCCAGGGGAGCGAACGGG
This 254-nucleotide ribosomal RNA is filed under the name uncultured bacterium. RNAcentral describes it as "partial 16S ribosomal RNA". It matches the Rfam family "Bacterial small subunit ribosomal RNA", at positions 524 to 776 of the family's 1533-position model. The record is from RNAcentral.